RNAcentral lists this ribosomal RNA (429 nucleotides) under Gemmatimonadota bacterium. RNAcentral's name for it is "Gemmatimonadetes bacterium partial 16S ribosomal RNA". It matches the Rfam family "Bacterial small subunit ribosomal RNA", at positions 355 to 776 of the family's 1533-position model. Lineage: Bacteria; Pseudomonadati; Gemmatimonadota. The record is from RNAcentral.
UAGGGAAUCUUCGGCAAUGGACGAAAGUCUGACCGAGCAACGCCGCGUGAGUGAAGAAGGUUUUCGGAUCGUAAAACUCUGUUGUUAGAGAAGAACAAGGACGUUAGUAACUGAACGUCCCCUGACGGUAUCUAACCAGAAAGCCACGGCUAACUACGUGCCAGCAGCCGCGGUAAUACGUAGGUGGCAAGCGUUGUCCGGAUUUAUUGGGCGUAAAGCGAGCGCAGGCGGUUUCUUAAGUCUGAUGUGAAAGCCCCCGGCUCAACCGGGGAGGGUCAUUGGAAACUUGGAGGCUUGAGUGCAGAAGAGGAGAGUUGAAUUUCAAGUGUAGCGGUGAAAUGCGUAGAUAUAUGGAGGAACACCAGGGGCGAAGGCGGCUCUCUGGUCUGUAACUGACGCUGAGGCUUGAAAGCGUGGGGAGCAAACAGG